GAUGAACGCUGGCGGCGUGCCUAAUACAUGCAAGUCGAACGCGCAGCGAAAGGUGCUUGCACCUUUCAAGCGAGUGGCGAACGGGUGAGUAACACGUGGAUAACCUGCCUCAAGGCUGGGGAUAACAUUUGGAAACAGAUGCUAAUACCGAAUAAAACUUAGUAUCGCAUGAUACAAAGUUAAAAGGCGCUACGGCGUCACCUAGAGAUGGAUCCGCGGUGCAUUAGUUAGUUGGUGGGGUAAAGGCUUACCAAGACGAUGAUGCAUAGCCGAGUUGGGAGACUGAUCGGCCACAUUGGGACUGAGACACGGCCCAAACUCCUACGGGAGGCUGCAGUAGGGAAUCUUCCACAAUGAGCGCAAGCCUGAUGGAGCAACGCCGCGUGUGUGAUGAAGGCUUUCGGGUCGUAAAGCACUGUUGUAUGGGAAGAAAUGCUAAAAUAGGGAAUGAUUUUAGUUUGACGGUACCAUACCAGAAAGGGACGGCUAAAUACGUGCCAGCCGCCGCUGUAA
Molecule: ribosomal RNA, 513 nt
Filed under: uncultured bacterium
Lineage: Bacteria
Description: partial 16S ribosomal RNA
Rfam family: Bacterial small subunit ribosomal RNA
Source: RNAcentral